Molecule: long non-coding RNA, 5266 nt
Organism: Hylaeus anthracinus
Lineage: Eukaryota; Metazoa; Arthropoda; Insecta; Hymenoptera; Colletidae
Exons: 2
Source: RefSeq, a predicted model, not a curated record
UUUUACAGGUUUCUCGCUAACAUUUUAUGCAUGUAAAUAAAUUAUACCCAUUUUUAGGACAUUGCCUUCUUUUUGCAGCGAAUUCAAAAUAUCGAACUCCAUCUUUCAGGGGGCAUGAAAGAGCUGCGAGGUGAGACAUUAUUCGCGACCGAAUGAAAUUAAAAGUGAUAAGCCAUGCAUAGAAAAAAGUGUGUACUCUUUAUUCCGUUUAUACUCCACAGCACAUACACGACGUUACAGGCCUAUAGGUACAAGACGGGUAAAGAAAAUGGUGGUUUCUCAGCUUUUCUUUUAUUCACUUUAAACCAACAGCAUCGCUUGAGCAUUGGUUCGGAUCUGCCAAUAAAUAACGAUAGGAUGAUCGUUUUACGCGUAGAAACGUGGCUUCGAACUUCGAUGAAGUCCUGGUUACAAGCGCAGGCACGCGCGUGUGCGACGAAAAUCCUUUCGCACGUCUCUUUCGAAAACGGGUAAACGUUCGCGGUCGCACGCUGGCUCGCAUUUUGUUUUUUUCGUUCUAAGCGCUAGUGUACGGGAAUAAAAAUAAAAUUUCUAUGGAGAAAAAGAAAUUCGGAAAAAGAGCCGCUACGCUCGAGGAUACCUCGACGCGGCAUUGGUGUAUUUCGCUGAAGCCUGGGAAGCGGACGAUCCGUCGCGGGGACGCGCGAGAACGAUUCGUCGACUCAAAAGGAUCGUUCCUUGAUCCUUUCCUGCGCGGGGGUCUUUCCAGUAGGUGGAACAAGUAUUUUUCAAACGAAUACCGUUCCCAUUGCGUCGCACAUUGUAGUCUCAGGGAAUUCUGUUAAUUUCUGUCCUUACAAAAAAAGAAAAAAGUUACACGAACUAAAUGAAACACUGACUCGAGUGCACUAGAUUCUCUAAUUGUCUCCAUUACGAUUUUGUUCGACCCACUGUAAGGACGUGCUAAAAUUCGUGACCCAUACUUGGAGUACAUGUAGUAUCCACCAAAGUAAGACAAAAGGUGGUGUUGGUAAAUGCGAAGCUUCGUCAGUAAAAAUCGAUAAAGCUUGCAGUUCAUUAGGAUCCUACACUUGUCGCUAUUACUACCGUAAUAUAGGUACUUUAAAUUAUUCAUUCAAAAAGGAGCUCAACCGUAAGCAUAUUCGUAGUAGAAAGGAACACUGUACUGUAUAUAUAAUCACAGUAGUCACGACUCAGGGUUGUAUAAAAUCUUAAUUCGACCCUUAGCACACCCACAGUAUGGACCAUCGAUCUUUAACACACUCUUUAUAAACAAUUAAACGUCGAAGUCGUUUCGUGUAUUCGACGAAUCGUCUCUACGUCGAUCUUGUUCCCCGAACGUUCGUGAACCGUUUUCGUUAAUUUAGGAACCCUACGUCAGUCUAGACCAACAAUCCGUCCUAUCGCGCGCCGACAGGUAUGCAGAUUCCUCUCGUCCCUCGUUACUCGUCACUCCCCCACACUCGCGAACGAUCCGCUUCGCUCGGAGCCGAUACUCCUCACCGUGCCUCUCGUCCGCGUUUCACAAUCAUCGUAAUAAUAAUCGUAAAUCAGCAAUUAUAAUAAUAAUAAUAAUAAUAAUCGCACGACUCGUCGAGUAAGAAAUUGCAACGAUAAUAAUAGAGUAAUAAUAAUUAGCAAUAAUAAAAAUCACCGUUCGUCGCUGGUGUCGCGACCCUCGUCGUACCGUGUGUAUUUAUAAUAUUUAUACCGUUUCGGGGCUGCGAAUCGACGACCGUUGACAUCGUGUCGCCGCCCCAAUAUAUAACUACAUUAACUCGUUCGUGCUCGUCAUCCCCGCGCGAAACUAAAUCGUUCGUCGAUCGUCGAUCGCUGAGAAACAAAUACGCAAUUUUCGACGUUUCUCGCCAAGUCUGGUGUCGCCGUACGCGGCGUACGACAAUCAAUCAAUCGUUAUUGUUUUGCCGUUUAAUUGUAUGUACAGUACUAUAUAUAUAUAUAUAUGUAUAUAUAGUCGAUAAUAUUAAUGCAUUAGUAUUUAUAAUAAUUUACGUGUACGCAUCGCGCGACUACAAUGGGCACGGUAUUCUGUAGGAGUGUUCGUCUCCGCAAACCACAUUCUCUUCAUCGACCCCCGUGUGAUCCAUCGGUUUCUACCCCCCAAUUGUUCUCCCGCCAAACGGCUCCGUUCGUUUCGCUGCACUCGCUUCGACCACGGUCGUUCACACGUGUCCUGAGACUCCUGCAGCAGGACUACCUCCUUAAUAAGUUCAGUGGUAAGAAGCACGAAUGAAAGAUAAGAAAACCAGGAGCGAGGCUGAUCAAUUUCUACCUCUGUUGCGAAUGUCUUCUUUCGUAAGUGUGUGGAGAUCAAAAAGUGGUGGUGAGCAAAAAACGAGGGAGUACAGAUUCGAAUGUUAUAACAGUAAUUAAAAAAAGUUAGAUUUCGCAAGGACCAGCGUUUAACGCGUUAACGAGGCGAGUUUCUCCAACUGGCCACUUUUUUAUCAGUGCUGCGAUCGUCGAGUAAGCUACUAAAAAUUUAAAGGUAAACAUAGGUUAACGUUUCUUUCUUUCAUGCCUUAAGUAUAACCAUGCAAACUAAGACAAAGGACGAGCCUAUAGCUGAAUUCUCGAUUCGAGUUUAUUUAUAAUGUUUUAUCAACCUCGUUCCCAACGUUCCUGCUCACUAGACGAUCGCACCAUUGACUAGCGAUCGAUUUGAGAAACGUUUGGGCCUGGCUGACACACCCAGCCCUACCGACGAAGUUUAGGGACUCGUGUGGACGAUCGCGGGCUCUGUUGGCGCUCGACGAUCGCGCGUCUCUGAUUGCCCGCGGGAGAGAUCGACGACAAAAGGAUCGUCCUCUAAAUGUACAAAAUGAAUGUCUCCGCGAGCCGUCGUCUCGCCGACGCUGUCCUUCGCGCUAUGAAAGUCGGCUACGUGGAAAAACGGUUUAUUGCUGAUCAGGAGUCGAUCUCGUUCUCCGUUUCUCGGUCACUCGAAUCGAGGCAGAUCGACUCGGGUAACCGAGAACGAAGUCGGAGGAUAGAAGGAGAACUAGGGCAGAGUUUCCCCUUGCGAAGAUCAAUGGCGUCUUGCAUAGGUAUACAAAUUCGAUCAAUUGGAGUGAUCGUUGCGCCAGGAAGGUAAUGAACAGGUGCACUUCUCGGUAGCAGCCUUGCUUGUAAUUUAAACAAGGAAAAUAAGGCGAAAAUCGCGAGGGUUAGUAAUUGAAAAUUGCUGUAUUCGUAUGAUGAAAGUUUGCGAUGUCUAAAAGGAAAAGUUCUAUAAAGUACACCUGAUCCUCGCUUUGUCGUCGCAACGAUUACUAACGCCAGUUGAAUUAUCGCGUGGAAAGCGGAGUUGGAUCACGUUCGAAUGACGUCCAACUCCGGCGGAAAGCCUGCUUAAGAAGUGAGCGCGUGGGAGAGCGUCGACGAGCGACGAGUUUGCGUUCAGGUUGUUUUGUUCUCGAUGAGAAACAAAAGGAUCGCAGGUUGGAGCAAACGCUUUCUGCGAUUAGUUGCUAGAUAACGGUCCACGUGUCUCGUUUCGAGGCGUCGGGCAUAUCUAGGGCUACCAUAUCUAAUACGAAGGAACGGGCUCGAUAACUCCACCUAAAAAUCUAUAUUCUAAUUUUAAUCUACGUCUACUAUGCGUCGCGUGUGUACGUGUGUUUACGCGUGUGUCCGUCGGUCGGUUUGCUUGUCUCUCUUCCUCUCAGUCGCUCUCUUUCGCUGCGUUUACGCGCACACAUUCUUGUACAUGCAUGUAUGUGUAUGUAUGUUCGUGUAAUAGUGGUGGAUUCACGUGGGCAGAGGUGCGCAAAACUCUUAUCUAGAUCGGAGAGUAAUCUCGAUGAGGUGUUGAUUCCAUAAAAGGUCUGAAUUAUGAAAUGAGAUUAAGGUAAGCGGAUAUGAUUUUGACGCGAUUCGUCUCUGAUUAUCGAGUCUGAGUGUUGCUUAUUUUUAGAGAACUGUGUACUUUAAAUAAAAAUCGUGAAGAAUUCAAACGUAAAACGGAACAAUUAUACAAAAAGUACAUUUACCCCGUUGGAUCGGAAUAAACGUUGCGAAUAAAAUGCUGUACAGAGAAUCAGGUUCGAAUCAGUAUUCGCCAUGCAUCAUUUAAAGAAUGUUUUGCCCACCUCUGGAUGGGAGAGGGAAAGAUCAGGUCAGGAAGGAACCACGGAGGAACCUCCCUCGUCACGUAAUAUUUUAUCAUUUCCUAAUUCGACCACCGAUCUUUCGAUCUCCCACCUUUGCGCGUUAGUUUCUUCGUGUAUAUGUAUUCUGUCUCGCCUCGAUGCUCUCUUUCUCUCGCACGCACUCUUUCUCACUCUCACUCUCUCUCCCUGGCACCCUCUUCUCUCUCUCUCUCUCUCUCUCUCUCUCGCUCUCUCUCUCGUGUUAAGGACUAAGUUUUAAACUAAGACGUCGCUAUACGCAAAACUACCUCAUCGCUAAUAUUUAACAACAUGGACAUUAUUAUUAUUAUUUCAAAUUUAUCAUCCCCCCCCCUCCCAAUUCCCAGCCCCGUCCCGCUGCUCUCGGAAUAUCGAGUCGUUCAAAAUAUUUCCUCGCUUUUUGUAUCACGCCCGCCGUUUUACCGCGCUAAGAAAAAGGAUUAAUCGAUCGAUCCGAUCGUUGAACCGAUUGCUAUACACCGUAAACUAUCUCGUUACGAUCCUCGAUCCCUCGCGCAACCCUCGGCGUUUCCACAUCCCCUCUCUGUUUCCUCUAAGGUAUCCUGCGUCUUUGACGUCCACCCACCCCCUUCCGCCGUUGUACCCUAUACGAUUUGUAGCGCAAUAUCGGAAACGCAACGUCGAUCGCAAGGCUUUCGCGGCGACGUACGACGACCGAAUGAACGAGAUCUGGCCAAGGUGUUGGUAUGUUUUCCUUUCUCUCUCUCUCUCUCUCUCUCUCUCUCUCUCUCUCUCUCUCUCUCUCUCUCUCUCUCUCUCUCUCUCUCUCUCUCUCUCUCUCUCUCUCUCACUCUCACUGCAUUUUUCAUUUUCCUUGAAAAACGCGCAAUACGGGACACGGAAAUCGUCUGUCUGUCACCGCGAGCGAGCACGAAGAUCGUUCUCGCUUCGAAGAGUCUCAAAGGCACGUCACUUUGAAGGUACCCGGUUAUUUUUUUUAUGCUUCGUUUUCCCUUCACGACAGGCAUGGACAACGAUUAUUAUUAUUAUUAUUACUAUUCUUCAAUUAUCCUCCUUCUUUUCUUUUUUUUUUUUUAUUAUCGUUAUUAGUCAUAUUAGUAGUAUCGUUAGCGUUAGUAUUAUCGAUAGUGUUAAUAUUAACAUUAGCGUUA